CAGUCGCCGCGGUAAUACGAAGGGUGCAAGCGUUAAUCGGAAUUACUGGACGUAGAGCGUGCGUAGGCGGUGAGUUAAGUCUGCUGUGAAAUCCCCGGGCUCAACCUGGGAAUGGCAGUGGAUACUGGCUCGCUAGAGUGUGUCAGAGGAUGGUGGAAUUCCCGGUGUAGCGGUGAAAUGCGUAGAGAUCGGGAGGAACAUCAGUGGCGAAGGCGGCCAUCUGGGACAACACUGACGCUGAGGCACGAAAGCGUGGGGAGCAAACAGGAUUAGAUACCCCCGUAGUCCCUGUCUCUUAUAC
This 301-nucleotide ribosomal RNA is filed under the name uncultured bacterium. Its description in RNAcentral is "partial 16S ribosomal RNA". It matches the Rfam family "Bacterial small subunit ribosomal RNA", at positions 509 to 807 of the family's 1533-position model. The record is from RNAcentral.